This 531-nucleotide ribosomal RNA is filed under the name Triticum aestivum (bread wheat). RNAcentral's name for it is "partial small subunit ribosomal RNA". The record is from RNAcentral. Lineage: Eukaryota; Viridiplantae; Streptophyta; Magnoliopsida; Poales; Poaceae.
AUGAAGAAGUACGAAGCAGAUGCAAGGUGGUUAGCGAUUGAAAAGGUAAACACGACCAGGCCUUUUAGCUCAUCGGCGAUGUUUGAAACCAUGAAGUCAGUUUGGGGGCUAGCGCACGUGCCCAAGUAUAGGGAGGCUGGUAAGAAUCUUUAUAUCUUCCAGAUGUUUUUCUUGGGGGAUUGGAAGAAGAUUGUUCAUGGAGGACCUUGGCUGUUUAGAGGGAUGGGAAUACUCAUCGAAGAUUACGAUGGCAAGCGGGAACCAACCUCCUAUGUCUUCAAUGGCCUAUAUGUGUGGGCUCGGAUCCACAAUAUACCAGAGUUAUACAGGAAAUAUGAGGUAGUGGAUCAACUAGCAUGACACAUUUGUCGGGUUAAGGAAACUCAACUCUCUCCAAGGCUCUUUUAUGAGGGAGAUUAUGUCAGAGUACGUGAAAGGGUUCUAGUGAACAAACCUCUAACUAGGGUGACACCGUUGAACGUGACGGGGGGAGGAAAGAAGGCUAGAAAAUCAAAUUCACCAGUGAAGUAG